RNAcentral lists this transfer RNA (77 nucleotides) under Bdellovibrionales bacterium. RNAcentral describes it as "tRNA-Gly". It matches the Rfam family "tRNA". From Rfam's summary of the family: Transfer RNA (tRNA) molecules are approximately 80 nucleotides in length. Their secondary structure includes four short double-helical elements and three loops (D, anti-codon, and T loops). Further hydrogen bonds mediate the characteristic L-shaped molecular structure. tRNAs have two regions of fundamental functional importance: the anti-codon, which is responsible for specific mRNA codon recognition, and the 3' end, to which the tRNAs corresponding amino acid is attached (by aminoacyl-tRNA synthetases). tRNAs cope with the degeneracy of the genetic code in two manners: having more than one tRNA (with a specific anti-codon) for a particular amino acid; and 'wobble' base-pairing, i.e. permitting non-standard base-pairing at the 3rd anti-codon position. The record is from RNAcentral. Lineage: Bacteria; Pseudomonadati; Bdellovibrionota; Bdellovibrionia; Bdellovibrionales.
GCGGGUGUAGCUCAGCUGGCUAGAGUGCAACCUUGCCAAGGUUGAGGCCGUGGGUUCGAAUCCCAUCACCCGCUCCA